RNAcentral lists this ribosomal RNA (105 nucleotides) under Pseudomonas sp. 9AZ. The record is from RNAcentral. Lineage: Bacteria; Pseudomonadati; Pseudomonadota; Gammaproteobacteria; Pseudomonadales; Pseudomonadaceae.
UAGAUUUAAAAAGGGCUUGCAAAGCUCCCGAACUCAGUAGUGAAACGAUGCAUCGCCGAUGGUAGUGUGGGGUUUCCCCAUGUGAGAGUAGGUCAUCGUCAAGCA